UACGGAGGAUGCAAGCGUUAUCCGGAAUGAUUGGGCGUAAAGCGUCUGUAGGUGGCUUAAAAAGUCUCCUGUCAAAGAUCAGGGCUUAACCCUGGGCCGGCAGGAGAAACUCUUAGGCUAGAGUUUGGUAGGGGCAGAGGGAAUUCCCGGUGGAGCGGUGAAAUGCGUAGAGAUCAGGAGGAACACCAAAGGCGAAAGCACUCUGCUGGGCCACAACUGACACUGAGAGACGAAAGCGAGGGGAGCAAAAGGG
RNAcentral lists this ribosomal RNA (253 nucleotides) under uncultured bacterium. Its description in RNAcentral is "partial 16S ribosomal RNA". It matches the Rfam family "Bacterial small subunit ribosomal RNA", at positions 524 to 776 of the family's 1533-position model. The record is from RNAcentral.